GAUGACAGAGAUGAAGAUGAGGAGGAAGAGAAGAGGCCGGAAGAUGUGUUGGCUGAUUUGAAGAAGAUGAUAACUGAGGAAAUAGAAAAGGUGAAAGAGGCGGCGGAGAAAAAAGCAAAAGAGUUGGCUGAGAAAUCCAAGGAUAAGACUGCUAAAAAUGUGAAGAAGCAACCAGCUGACGGUAAGGAGAAGACACCUGAUGAAGGGGAGAAGAAACCUAUCCCACCUCCUUAUCUUCUGUUGAUUCUUGAUGAUGAAGGAAACAAGACUAGUGAGGACAAGGUGAUGAAGGAACUAAAACUUGAGAUGUUUCUU
RNAcentral lists this long non-coding RNA (315 nucleotides) under Brassica napus (rape). RNAcentral describes it as "long non-coding RNA (BNAP_LNC011741)". Lineage: Eukaryota; Viridiplantae; Streptophyta; Magnoliopsida; Brassicales; Brassicaceae. The record is from RNAcentral.